GGUCUAGGCAAAGAAAGGAUAGACACGUUUUAGUUCAGAUCAAUCCAUUUCUUUCACAAAGAAAUCAUGGGCAGGGGAUAAAAAAGUUGUAAAGACAAACUAAAGUCGGUACAGCAUGGUGGUAAUUGUGGUAUUGAGAUCGCACAAUAAAGACCUUAUAUUCCAUCAAUGAAUUCUUUUGGGUGUUUUCAAGGGAGGUUUUUAUCACCGAAGUUUAUCAAUCAAGCAAGUCGUACGAUACCAUCUCAGCUUUAUCAAGCCAUGUAAUGUGCCGCUUACUCGGCCGAAGAAAACACAAAUAUACACAGAGACGGCGAAGAAAACAACCUUACUUAA
This is a long non-coding RNA of Nematostella vectensis (starlet sea anemone), 336 nucleotides long. RefSeq lists it as uncharacterized. The transcript has 2 exons. The record is from RefSeq and is a predicted model, not a curated record. NCBI's taxonomy places the organism in Eukaryota, Metazoa, Cnidaria, Anthozoa, Actiniaria, Edwardsiidae.